AUUGAACGCUGGCGGCAUGCUUUACACAUGCAAGUCGGACGGCAGCACAGAGAAGCUUGCUUCUUGGGUGGUGAGUGGCGAACGGGUGAGUAACAUAUCGGAACGUACCGAGCAGUGGGGGAUAACUAAUCGAAAGAUUAGCUAAUACCGCAUAUAUUCUGAGGAAGAAAGCAGGGGACCAUUUGGCCUUGCGCUGUUUGAGCGGCCGAUAUCUGAUUAGCUGGUUGGUGGGGUAAAGGCCUACCAAGGCGACGAUCAGUAGCGGGUCUGAGAGGAUGAUCCGCCACACUGGGACUGAGACACGGCCCAGACUCCUACGGGAGGCAGCAGUGGGGAAUUUUGGACAAUGGGCGCAAGCCUGAUCCAGCCAUGCCGCGUGUCUGAAGAAGGCCUUCGGGUUGUAAAGGACUUUUGUCAGGGAAGAAAAGGAUAGGGUUAAUACCCCCGUCUGAUGACUGUAUCCUGAAGAAUAAGC
This 475-nucleotide ribosomal RNA is filed under the name Neisseria pharyngis. RNAcentral describes it as "bacterial SSU rRNA". It matches the Rfam family "Bacterial small subunit ribosomal RNA", at positions 30 to 491 of the family's 1533-position model. Lineage: Bacteria; Pseudomonadati; Pseudomonadota; Betaproteobacteria; Neisseriales; Neisseriaceae. The record is from RNAcentral.